UUACGGCCAUAUCAUGAUGGAACACUGGUUCCCAUAAGAUCACUAAAGUUAAGCAACUUUGAAUCUGGUCAGUACCUAGAUGAUUGACUGCUUGGGAAUACCAGC
This is a non-coding RNA of Acanthosepion pharaonis, 105 nucleotides long. NCBI's taxonomy places the organism in Eukaryota, Metazoa, Mollusca, Cephalopoda, Sepiida, Sepiidae. The record is from the annotation of a GenBank genome assembly.